ACCGACUAAUGUUGAAAAAUUAGCGGAUGACUUGUGGCUGGGGGUGAAAGGCCAAUCAAACCGGGAGAUAGCUGGUUCUCCCCGAAAGCUAUUUAGGUAGCGCCUCGUGAAUUCAUCUCCGGGGGUAGAGCACUGUUUCGGCAAGGGGGUCAUCCCGACUUACCAACCCGAUGCAAACUGCGAAUACCGGAGAAUGUUAUCACGGGAGACACACGGCGGGUGCUAACGUCCGUCGUGAAGAGGGAAACAACCCAGACCGCCAGCUAAGGUCCCAAAGUCAUGGUUAAGUGGGAAACGAUGUGGGAAGGCCCAGACAGCCAGGAUGUUGGCUUAGAAGCAGCCAUCAUUUAAAGAAAGCGUAAUAGCUCACUGGUCGAGUCGGCCUGCGCGGAAGAUGUAACGGGGCUAAACCAUGCACCGAA
RNAcentral lists this ribosomal RNA (422 nucleotides) under Escherichia coli. RNAcentral describes it as "partial 23S ribosomal RNA". It matches the Rfam family "Bacterial large subunit ribosomal RNA", at positions 778 to 1198 of the family's 2925-position model. Lineage: Bacteria; Pseudomonadati; Pseudomonadota; Gammaproteobacteria; Enterobacterales; Enterobacteriaceae. The record is from RNAcentral.